CCUCCAUUGUUCCAGCAAUGGUGCAGCAGCCCUGGGAGACUCUGUAACUGUGUGUCCACAACUGCAGUCCCUUCCAGUGUGGCCUCCUGAGGAGCUGAUGGACAUAGCCCUCAGAGUGAGGGACUAUAGGUCCUUGGCCUGGUUACAGUCAGCCUCAGACUCCAGGUUGCUGUCUGUGAAAUGGGAUACAACCACCUCUCCUGUGGGGAUUAAAUUCACAUGGCUAGUGCCAAGUACAAGUUAGCUGUGUGAAGGUGGCGCUGGGCAGGCUUCCGAGGCCUCGUGAGGUCUGGCAAAGGAGAUCUUCAGACCUUCACUGGUGUUACUGGAAGAAGCAAGCUGUUUUCUGGUAAAAGGAGAAGAUCAACAAAUGCCAGCAAACUGGGACUCUUUUUGAAAAGAGUAGCUGGGAAAUUACCACUAACUGGGCAACAACUGAUUGAGAGAAUGAUGAGAUGAUCUAACCCCCACCUGCACCCCGUAACCCUACACACACAAAUACACAAUUCUCUCCUUA
Molecule: non-coding RNA, 517 nt
Organism: Ictidomys tridecemlineatus (thirteen-lined ground squirrel)
Lineage: Eukaryota; Metazoa; Chordata; Mammalia; Rodentia; Sciuridae
Source: RefSeq, a predicted model, not a curated record